GGGUUGUGAGGUUAAGCGACUAAGCGUACACGGUGGAUGCCCUGGCAGUCAGAGGCGAUGAAGGACGUGCUAAUCUGCGAUAAGCGUCGGUAAGGUGAUAUGAACCGUUAUAACCGGCGAUUUCCGAAUGGGGAAACCCAGUGUGAUUCGUCACACUAUCAUUAACUGAAUCCAUAGGUUAAUGAGGCGAACCGGGGGAACUGAAACAUCUAAGUACCCCGAGGAAAAGAAAUCAACCGAGAUUCCCCCAGUAGCGGCGAGCGAACGGGGAGCAGCCCAGAGCCUGAAUCAGUGUGUGUGUUAGUGGAAGCGUCUGGAAAGGCGCGCGAUACAGGGUGACAGCCCCGUACACAAAAAUGCACAUGCUGUGAGCUCGAUGAGUAGGGCGGGACACGUGGUAUCCUGUCUGAAUAUGGGGGGACCAUCCUCCAAGGCUAAAUACUCCUGACUGACCGAUAGUGAACCAGUACCGUGAGGGAAAGGCGAAAAGAACCCCGGCGAGGGGAGUGAAAAAGAACCUGAAACCGUGUACGUACAAGCAGUGGGAGCCUCUUUAUGGGGUGACUGCGUACCUUUUGUAUAAUGGGUCAGCGACUUAUAUUCUGUAGCAAGGUUAACCGAAUAGGGGAGCCGAAGGGAAACCGAGUCUUAACUGGGCGUUAAGUUGCAGGGUAUAGACCCGAAACCCGGUGAUCUAGCCAUGGGCAGGUUGAAGGUUGGGUAACACUAACUGGAGGACCGAACCGACUAAUGUUGAAAAAUUAGCGGAUGACUUGUGGCUGGGGGUGAAAGGCCAAUCAAACCGGGAGAUAGCUGGUUCUCCCCGAAAGCUAUUUAGGUAGCGCCUCGUGAAUUCAUCUCCGGGGGUAGAGCACUGUUUCGGCAAGGGGGUCAUCCCGACUUACCAACCCGAUGCAAACUGCGAAUACCGGAGAAUGUUAUCACGGGAGACACACGGCGGGUGCUAACGUCCGUCGUGAAGAGGGAAACAACCCAGACCGCCAGCUAAGGUCCCAAAGUCAUGGUUAAGUGGGAAACGAUGUGGGAAGGCCCAGACAGCCAGGAUGUUGGCUUAGAAGCAGCCAUCAUUUAAAGAAAGCGUAAUAGCUCACUGGUCGAGUCGGCCUGCGCGGAAGAUGUAACGGGGCUAAACCAUGCACCGAAGCUGCGGCAGCGACGCUUAUGCGUUGUUGGGUAGGGGAGCGUUCUGUAAGCCUGCGAAGGUGUACUGUGAGGUAUGCUGGAGGUAUCAGAAGUGCGAAUGCUGACAUAAGUAACGAUAAAGCGGGUGAAAAGCCCGCUCGCCGGAAGACCAAGGGUUCCUGUCCAACGUUAAUCGGGGCAGGGUGAGUCGACCCCUAAGGCGAGGCCGAAAGGCGUAGUCGAUGGGAAACAGGUUAAUAUUCCUGUACUUGGUGUUACUGCGAAGGGGGGACGGAGAAGGCUAUGUUGGCCGGGCGACGGUUGUCCCGGUUUAAGCGUGUAGGCUGGUUUUCCAGGCAAAUCCGGAAAAUCAAGGCUGAGGCGUGAUGACGAGGCACUACGGUGCUGAAGCAACAAAUGCCCUGCUUCCAGGAAAAGCCUCUAAGCAUCAGGUAACAUCAAAUCGUACCCCAAACCGACACAGGUGGUCAGGUAGAGAAUACCAAGGCGCUUG
RNAcentral lists this ribosomal RNA (1657 nucleotides) under Escherichia coli. RNAcentral describes it as "bacterial LSU rRNA". It matches the Rfam family "Bacterial large subunit ribosomal RNA", at positions 1 to 1692 of the family's 2925-position model. The record is from RNAcentral. Lineage: Bacteria; Pseudomonadati; Pseudomonadota; Gammaproteobacteria; Enterobacterales; Enterobacteriaceae.